GAUGAACGCUGGCGGCGUGCCUAAUACAUGCAAGUCGAGCGAACAGACGAGGAGCUUGCUCCUCUGACGUUAGCGGCGGACGGGUGAGUAACACGUGGAUGACCUACCUAUAAGACUGGGAUAACUUCGGGAAACCGGAGCUAAUACCGGAUAAUAUAUUGAACCGCAUGGUUCAAUAGUGAAAGACGGUUUUGCUGUCACUUAUAGAUGGAUCCGCGCCGCAUUAGCUAGUUGGUAAGGUAACGGCUUACCAAGGCAACGAUGCGUAGCCGACCUGAGAGGUGGAUAGGCCACACUGGAACUGAGACACGGUCCAGACUCCUAAGGGAGGCAGCAGUAGGGAACCUUCCGCAAUGGGCGAAAGCCUGACGGAGCAACGCCGCGUGAGUGAUGAAGGUCUUCGGAUCGUAAAACUCUGUUAUUAGGGAAGAACAAAUGUGUAAGUAACUAUGCACGUCUUGACGGUACCUAAUCAGAAAGCCACGGCUAACUACGUG
Molecule: ribosomal RNA, 497 nt
Filed under: uncultured bacterium
Lineage: Bacteria
Description: partial 16S ribosomal RNA
Rfam family: Bacterial small subunit ribosomal RNA
Source: RNAcentral